Molecule: long non-coding RNA, 302 nt
Organism: Manis pentadactyla (Chinese pangolin)
Lineage: Eukaryota; Metazoa; Chordata; Mammalia; Pholidota; Manidae
Exons: 3
Source: RefSeq, a predicted model, not a curated record
GGAAAACUGGAACGAAGAGGAGAAGCUGUGAUGCAAGAACAUGUAGUGUAAAACUGAGAGGUGAGGUGGUGUGGAGAAUGUGGCCGGAUGUGGAUCCCUGUGUUGUUCCACAAGUGACUUGAAUCUCAAGUCUCUCGAAGUCUUCUGCCUGUCUGCUUUCCAACUCCACCGAUUGUCCAGAGCGCAGCACGUGUAUGCGGCCGUAUGUGGAACCCUGUGUUGUCCCAGAAGUGGCUGGAAUCUCAAGUAUCUCGAAGUCUUCCGCCUGUCUUUGCUUUUCAACCCCACCAAUCCUCCAGAGC